GAUGAACGCUAGCGGCAGGCCUAACACAUGCAAGUCGAGGGGUAUUAGGAGCUUGCUCCUAAGAGACCGGCGCACGGGUGCGUAACGCGUAUGCAAUCUACCUUGUACAGGGGAAUAGCCCAGAGAAAUUUGGAUUAAUGCCCCAUAGUAUAAUUGAAUCGCAUGGUUUAAUUAUUAAAGUUCCAACGGUACAAGAUGAGCAUGCGUCCCAUUAGUUAGUUGGUAAGGUAACGGCUUACCAAGACAAUGAUGGGUAGGGGUCCUGAGAGGGAGAUCCCCCACACUGGUACUGAGACACGGACCAGACUCCUACGGGAGGCAGCAGUGAGGAAUAUUGGUCAAUGGGCGCAAGCCUGAACCAGCCAUGCCGCGUGCAGGAAGACGGUCCUAUGGAUUGUAAACUGCUUUUAUACAGGAAGAAACAACGCUACGUGUAGCGUCUUGACGGUACUGUAGGAAUAAGGAUCGGCUAACUCCGUG
Molecule: ribosomal RNA, 480 nt
Filed under: uncultured bacterium
Lineage: Bacteria
Description: bacterial SSU rRNA
Rfam family: Bacterial small subunit ribosomal RNA
Source: RNAcentral